CUGCUGCCUCCCGUAGGAGUCUGGUCCGUGUCUCAGUACCAGUGUGGGGGACCUUCCUCUCAGAACCCCUACGCAUCGUCGUCUUGGUGGUCCGUUACACCGCCAACUAACUAAUGCGACGCAUGCCCAUCCGCCACCGGAAUUAACCUUUGGCACCAACAGGAUGUCCCGUCGAUGCAUUAUGCCGUAUUAGACGGAAUUUCUCCCGAUUAUCCGGCUGUGGCAGGCAGGUUGCAUACGUGUUACUUACCCGUGCCG
RNAcentral lists this ribosomal RNA (258 nucleotides) under uncultured bacterium. RNAcentral describes it as "partial 16S ribosomal RNA". The record is from RNAcentral.